This 355-nucleotide ribosomal RNA is filed under the name uncultured bacterium. RNAcentral's name for it is "bacterial SSU rRNA". It matches the Rfam family "Bacterial small subunit ribosomal RNA", at positions 168 to 512 of the family's 1533-position model. The record is from RNAcentral.
ACCGCAUACGACCCUAUGGGUGAAACGCGGGGGAUCGCAAGACUUGCGCUAUUGGAGCGGCCGAUGUCAGAUUAGCUUGUUGGUGGGGUAAAAGCCCACCAAGGCGACGAUCUGUAGCUGGUCUGAGAGGACGACCAGCCACACUGGGACUGAGACGCGGCCCAGACUCCUACGGGAGGCAGCAGUGGGGAAUUUUGGACCAAAUGGGCGCAAGCCUGAUCCAGCCAUGCCGCGUGCGGGAAGAAGGCCUUCGGGUUGUAAACCGCUUUUGUCAGGGAAGAAACCGCUCUAGGCUAAUACCUUGGAGUAAAUGACCGGUACCUGACAGAAUAAGCACCGGUAACUACGUGCCAGC